This 541-nucleotide ribosomal RNA is filed under the name Zeugodacus abdopallescens. RNAcentral describes it as "partial 16S ribosomal RNA". It matches the Rfam family "Bacterial large subunit ribosomal RNA", at positions 1804 to 2612 of the family's 2925-position model. Lineage: Eukaryota; Metazoa; Arthropoda; Insecta; Diptera; Tephritidae. The record is from RNAcentral.
UUAACAAAAACAUGUCUUUUUGAGUUAUUUUUAAAGUCUGACCAGCCCACUGAAAUUUUUUAAAUGGCCGCAGUAUUCUAACUGUGCAAAGGUAGCAUAAUCAUUAGUCUUUUAAUUGAAGGCUGGUAUGAACGGUUGGACGAGGUAUAAGCUGUUUCAUAUAAAUUUAUAAUAGAAUUUUAUAUUUUAGUCAAAAAGCUAAAAUUUAAUUAAAAGACGAGAAGACCCUAUAAAUCUUUAUAAUUUUUGUUAUUUAAAUUUUUUGGAUUAGUUUUAUUUUUUUAGUAAAAAUUAUUUUGUUGGGGUGAUGUUAAAAUUUAAUGAACUUUUAAUUAUUUAAAAUCAUUAAUUUAUGAGUUAUUGAUCCAUUAGUAGUGAUUAUAAGAUUAAGUUACUUUAGGGAUAACAGCGUAAUUUUUUUGGAGAGUUCAUAUCGAUAAAAAAGUUUGCGACCUCGAUGUUGGAUUAAGAUAUAAUUUUAGGUGUAGCCGCUUAAAUGUUAAGUCUGUUCGACUUUUAAAUUCUUACGUGAUCUGAGUUC